Molecule: ribosomal RNA, 482 nt
Filed under: uncultured bacterium
Lineage: Bacteria
Description: partial 16S ribosomal RNA
Rfam family: Bacterial small subunit ribosomal RNA
Source: RNAcentral
AUUGAACGCUGGCGGCAUGCCUUACACAUGCAAGUCGAACGGUAACGGGCCUUCGGGUGCCGACGAGUGGCGCACGGGUGAGUAAUACAUCUGAACGUGCCCGAUCGUGGGGGAUAACGAGGCGAAAGCUUUUCUAAUACCGCAUACGAUCUACGGAUGAAAGCCGGGGACCGCAAGGCCUUGCGCGGACGGAGCGGCCGAUGGCAGAUUAGGUAGUUGGUGGGAUAAAAGCUUACCAAGCCGACGAUCUGUAGCUGGUCUGAGAGGAUGAUCAGCCACACUGGGACUGAGACACGGCCCAGACUCCUACGGGAGGCAGCAGUGGGGAAUUUUGGACAAUGGGCGCAAGCAUGAUCCAGCCAUGCCGCGUGCAGGAUGAAGGCCUUCGGGUUGUAAACUGCUUUUGUACGGAACGAAAAGCCUUCUUUUAAUACAGGAGGGUCAUGACGGUACCGUAAGAAUAAGCACCGGCUAACUACGUG